GAGAGACGCUGGCGGCGUGGAUUAGGCAUGCAAGUCGAACGGUAGGAUACCUUCGGGUAUCUGAGAGUGGCGAACGGGUGAGUAACACGUAGGUGAUCUACCCUCAAGAUUGGGACAACCCAGGGAAACUUGGGCUAAUACCGGAUGAAAGCAGCAGUGAUGUUGUUUGAAAGGUGGCGUAAGCUGCCGUUUGGGGAUGAGCCUGCGCUCUAUUAGUUAGUUGGCGGGGUAAAGGCCCACCAAGGCGAUGAUAGAUAGGCGGCCUUAACGGGUGGUCGCCCACACUGGGAUUGAGAUACGGCCCAGACUCCUACGGGAGGCAGCAGUCGAGAAUAGUCUACAAUGGCCGAAAGGCUGAUAGUGCGACGCCGCGUGAACGAAGAAGCCCUUCGGGGUGUAAAGUUCUUUUAUAUGUGAGCAGUGCUUUCUAUGUGAACAGCAUGGGGAGAGAGAUAUUAGCAUAUGAAUAAGCAACGGCUAACUCCGUG
RNAcentral lists this ribosomal RNA (488 nucleotides) under uncultured bacterium. RNAcentral describes it as "bacterial SSU rRNA". It matches the Rfam family "Bacterial small subunit ribosomal RNA", at positions 33 to 507 of the family's 1533-position model. The record is from RNAcentral.